UAAUACGGAGGGUGCAAGCGUUAAUCGGAAUUACUGGGCGUAAAGCGUGCGUAGGUGGUUUGUUAAGUCAGAUGUGAAAGCCCCGGGCUCAACCUGGGAACUGCAUUUGAAACUGGCAAACUAGAGUAUAGGAGAGGAAAGUGGAAUUUCUGGUGUAGCGGUGAAAUGCGUAGAUAUCAGAAGGAACAUCAAUGGCGAAGGCAGCUUUCUGGACUAAUACUGACACUGAGGUACGAAAGCGUGGGUAGCAAACAGGAUUAGAUACCCUGGUAGUCCACGCCGUAAACGAUGACAACUAGCCGUUGGGGGGAUUUACCCCUUAGUGGCGAAGCUAACGCGUUAAGUUGUCCGCCUGGGGAGUACGGCCGCAAGGUUA
This 376-nucleotide ribosomal RNA is filed under the name uncultured Gammaproteobacteria bacterium. Its description in RNAcentral is "bacterial SSU rRNA". It matches the Rfam family "Bacterial small subunit ribosomal RNA", at positions 521 to 896 of the family's 1533-position model. The record is from RNAcentral. Lineage: Bacteria; Pseudomonadati; Pseudomonadota; Gammaproteobacteria.